AACUUUUAACAACGGAUCUCUAGGCUCUCGUAUCGAUGAAGAACGUAGCAAAUUGCGAUAACUAUUGUGAAUUGCAUUUCGUGAAUCAUCAAGUUUUUGAACGCAUCUUGCACUCUGUGGUAUUCCGCAGAGUACACUUGUUUCAGUA
This 148-nucleotide ribosomal RNA is filed under the name Pilobolus umbonatus. RNAcentral describes it as "5.8S ribosomal RNA". It matches the Rfam family "5.8S ribosomal RNA". Rfam says of the family: 5.8S ribosomal RNA (5.8S rRNA) is a component of the large subunit of the eukaryotic ribosome. It is transcribed by RNA polymerase I as part of the 45S precursor that also contains 18S and 28S rRNA. Functionally, it is thought that 5.8S rRNA may be involved in ribosome translocation. Lineage: Eukaryota; Fungi; Mucoromycota; Mucoromycetes; Mucorales; Pilobolaceae. The record is from RNAcentral.